AAGUGUAGUAUCUGUUCUUAUCAGU
RNAcentral lists this non-coding RNA (25 nucleotides) under Gallus gallus (chicken). RNAcentral also lists the same sequence under 3 other names. The record is from RNAcentral. Lineage: Eukaryota; Metazoa; Chordata; Aves; Galliformes; Phasianidae.